This 6549-nucleotide long non-coding RNA is filed under the name Brassica napus (rape). RNAcentral's name for it is "long non-coding RNA (BNAP_LNC007873)". The record is from RNAcentral. Lineage: Eukaryota; Viridiplantae; Streptophyta; Magnoliopsida; Brassicales; Brassicaceae.
GUUAAGCUUGAGGGGGAGUGUUGAGUUAGAAGAGACUUAUGGAUCAAGGAAUGAUGGAUAAGUGGAGAAGAAGCAAGGUAGAGGAAUCCGUACAAGAGAGGCCGUACAAGGCCGUACACUUGGUACGGAUGGAGCAACCACAAGGAGAAGUAUCUCGGCCAAGAAGUUACCAAAGUGAAAGUAACUUAGCCAAAGUUACCUUUACCUUUGGUUGUGGAUCAGCUUGAAUCAAAAGGAAGAAGAGCGCGGACUGACAGGCUGGAACAGCUGUAAAGGAAGAGCAUCUAGCUAGAUCCUUUUGGCAUCAAGCGUGUGAGCCAUCCUAGCCGGUCAUUCAAACUAGCCCGCUCCUCUCAUCUUUGACUCUACAUGCUUAGUCUCCCUUGUAUCCGUUAACCUAGACUUAGUCUCUCCUAUAUAUAUUGUAACCUUGCUGAUUAAUGAAGUUAACGAGAUUGAGAGACUCUUAUCUCUUGUGUUCAUCAUGAUUCUCACUCAACCUCAGUCUUAGUUCUUAUAAUCUCUCAUACACUCUCAAAUCUAUCUAUUUCUCUUCUUAAAUCACUCAAUACUUUUUGUAUUCUCUAAAAUCAUAUGGUAUCAGAGCCAGGUUGGCUUUGGUAUUGAGUUUCUGAUAAGUUCUUCAUCUUCUUUCAAAAGAUCUAGCGGGUUCUUUAUGAUUUUAGAGAGUUGAACAGGUAUUGAGAGAUUUAGAGAAAGAUUAAAGUGAGAUGAGAUGAUUUAUGAAAUGUAGAAGAGAAACAUGAUGAACUAGAGAGAGAAUAUGAUGAACUCGUGUUAUUCAUUAAUCAAGACAGAGUUUACAAUAUAUAGAGAGAGACAUUAGGGUAUUAGGAAACGCUAAGCAUGUGAGGUCAAGGAUAAGAUUGCUUUAAUUCAAAUGUAAACCAAUGGGAGCUGUCACACGCUUUUGGCAUCUUGGACUCGGUUCCUUUUGCCUUUACAGCAUGUGCCAGACUGUCAGGAUAAGCCGCGGUCACUCCCUCCAUCCAAACGGUCAUAUCUCCUAAGGUAAAACCCCUUUGGCCGUUUAACCCUUUCACCCGGGUAACUUCCCGCUUGGUCGAGUUAUGGAUCGACCCGGACAGUACGGACAGUACGGCCGGUACGGCCUCUUGUACGGCCUGGUCGAUCCCUAACCUUCCUUCCCUUUUCCUCCACAUUCUCACAUCCUCAACUCCUUAAGCCAUCUCCUCAUAUACUGAACCACUUAUUUUCACAUUCUUCACUGAAGCAUACAAGACAAAAUGCAGAGCCAGGUUGGCUUUGGUAUUGAGUUUCUGAUAAGUUCUUCAUCUUCUUUCAAAAGAUCUAGUGGGUUCUUCACUGAAGCAUACAAGACAAAAUGGAGGGACACUACAAGGUGAUUACGGUACCGGUGGCUCUAAAGGGUAGUGGAAACUACCUGCUGUGGUCAAGGCUGGUGAAGACAGCCAUUGGGAGGCUAGGGUUGUGGAGUCACAUCACGGAUGAGACACCAUGACCAGUGGCCAAGGAAGGAGAAGGAGGUGGAGGUGAAGGAGAUCAAGUGGCGGCCGCCGAGAAGAAAUGGAUACAAGAGGACUUAAUGGUGCUUUCAGUGCUACAAGGCUCUCUUGAGGUCCAUCUCUUAGAUGCCUACAGCUACUGUGAGACUCCUAAGCACCUAUGGGAAACACUCCUGAAGACCUUUGGGAACACAACCAAUCUGAGCCGGGUGUUUGAGCUCAAGAGAGCCAUCAACAACCUUGCGCAAGAAGAGGAGGAGUUCUCUAAACACUUGGGAAAGUACAGAUCUCUCUGGUCUGAGCUGGAGACCUUGAGGCCAAGCACCAUUGAUCAAGAGACUCUCAUGGAGAGGAGGGAACAAGAUCAAGUGUUUGGUUUGAUGCUGACUUUGAAUCCGGCCUUUGGUGAUGUUAUUAAGCACAUUCUGAGGUCUCCAAACCUUCCAUCUAUGGAGGAGGUGUGUGCACAACUCCAGAAGGAAGAAGGGACUCUCGGCUUGUUUGGGGGAAGAGGGGAUGUGGCUCUAUCCAACAAGGCUGAGGCAAUCCAAGCAAACAAAGCUGCUUACCGUGGAGAUGAAAGGAAGUUUAGUGGGAACUGUGAUCAUUGCAAGAAGCCAGGGCACAAGAGGAGUCAGUGCUGGAUUCUACACCCCCACUUGAAGCCGGCCAAGUUCAACAAGGAGAGGGAGGGAAGAGCUCACCUUUCUGCAGAGACAAGUGAAGCCGGCACAUCAGGAGCUGGUUCAUCUGGUCAUGCGGGUGAAAGUGAAGGAAGAGCUUUAGCUUCUCACCUCCAAGGAGCCGGGAAGAACAUGGAGCAUGAGGUGAUUAGGAAGUCUGACAUUGAUGCCCUGAUCAAAGCCCUCAAAGAGUCUGGUAACCCCAUUGAACACACUCUUGGUUAUUCAUACUCUGCUCGUGUGUUAUCUAGAACUUGUGAUAGGCUGCUAGAUAAUCUUGAUAAUAUGAACAUGGGAGAUGGAAAGCAUAGGACUUAUGCUGCUGAAAAAACACCUAGAACUAAUGAUAAGUUGCUAGAUGUUAUAGAUAAAUUAAAACUGAUGAUCAAACUGCCUAGUACUCACCUUGCUCAAGGUAUAAAACCAUUGAUUGUAGAUUCAGGUGCUUCACAUCAUAUGAUAAGUGAUGAUAGUCUUAUAAAGAACAUAGAACCAGCUCAUGGACAUGUAAUGAUUGCAAAUGGUGAUAGAAUACCUAUUAAAGGAGUAGGAGACUUAAAACUAUUUAAUAAGGAUUCUAAAGCUUUGUACAUGCCUGAGUUUACUUCUAACCUUCUAUCUGUUAAGAGAUGCACCAAUGAUCUUCAAUGCAAUGUUAUUUUCAGUCCUAAUGAUGUGAAAUUUCAGGAUAUUGAGAGCAAUAAGUUGAUUGGGCAAGGAGUAACCAAAGGAGAUCUUUAUUUACUUGAAGACAUUGCCCCUAUCUCUAGUUCUAGUUGCUUGUUGAGUUCUGUUUUAAGUAAAGGUGCAUUAUGGCAUUCUAGGCUAGGACAUCCACAUGUUAGAGCCUUGAGCUUAAUGUUACCAGGUGUCAUGUUUAAAAAUAAUGAUUGUGAAGCUUGUAUUUUGGGAAAACAUUGUAAGACUGUGUUUAAGAGGUCCACUACUAUCUAUGAUAAAUGCUUUGAUCUUAUUCAUUCUGAUGUGUGGACUGCUCCCUGCCUAUCUAGAGAUAAUUACAAGUACUUUGUCACAUUCAUAGAUGAAAAAUCCAAAUACACCUGGAUAACACUAAUCAAAACAAAGGAUAGGGUUCUUGAUGCAUUUAAAAACUUUCAAUCAUAUGUGUCUAACCAAUAUAAUGCCAAGAUUAAGAUUUUCAGGUCUGAUAAUGGUGGAGAGUAUACUGGCCACGCAUUCAAGAAUCACUUAGCUCAGUAUGGAAUCCUGCAUCAGACGAGUUGCCCCUAUACACCCCAACAAAAUGGUGUGGCGGAGAGGAACCUCAACAAAAUGGAGUGGCUGAGAGGAAGAACAGACAUCUGAUGGAAGUGGCUAGAUCAAUGAUGUUCCAGAUGAGUGUGCCAAAGAGAUUCUGGAGUGAUGCUGUGAUUACUGCAUGUUAUCUGAUCAAUAGGAUACCAACCAGGAUCUUGGAGGAUCAAUCACCUUAUGAAGUUCUCAACAAGAGCAAGCCGGUUCUAGAUCACUUGAGAGUAUUUGGUUGUGUAAGCUUUGUUCUGAUUCCGGGAGAAACAAGAAACAAGCUUGAAGCCAAGAGUAUAAGGGCUAUGAUGAUUGGUUAUUCUACUACACAGAAGGGAUACAAGUGCUUUGUUCCAGAAACGAGAAGGGUACUUGUAUCUAGAGAUGUGAAGUUCCUGGAAGACAAGAGCUACUAUGAGGACAAAGAGUGGAAAGACUUGGAAGAUCUUUCACGACCAUCUGAUAGAGCUACAAGUCUAAGACAGAUACUAGAAGGACUUGGGAUUGGAGUGACCCAGGAUCAGAGUGAAGAACACUCAUCAGAGGUACAUGAAGCUGAAGAACCAACUCACGUUGAUCAUGAGGGAGGGAAUGGAACUGAGAAUGAGAACCAAGACUCAGAACUUCCUGAUCAACGUGAGACUCAAGAGGUAGAUGAACCUGAUAAUGGAGAGUACCAUGAAGAUCAGGAACAAGAGAAUGGAGAAACAACUGAAGUAGAAGAGACUCAGCAAGCGCCAACUACUGCUGUUCCAUUAAGAAGAAGUACACGGCUGAAGAGAGAUGCUUCCAACUGGGUAAACACGAGAGUGUACUACAAUGCCCAAGCUGUGGAGCAUCCCUCUCAAGCCGUGUGUUCAUUUGCUACAUUCCCAGAUCAGCAUUGCACAUUUAUGAUGAGUUUAGAUAAGAGCUUUGUACCUAGAUCACAUGAGGAAGCAAUGCUACAUGAAGACUGGAAGGAAUCAGUUGAUGAUGAGGCCAAUGCUAUGAUUAAAAAUGAUACAUGGUAUGAGAGUGAGUUACCAAAGGGAAAGAAGGCAGUAAGCAGCAAGUGGAUAUUCACAAUCAAGUAUAAGCCUGAUGGAACCAUUGACAGAAAGAAAACAAGACUGGUUGCUAGAGGAUACACUCAGACCUAUGGAGAAGAUUACAUAGAUACAUUUGCUCCUGUUGCCAAGCUACAUACAAUCAGAAUUGUAUUAUCUGUUGCUGUAAACCUUGGAUGGGAGCUAUGGCAAAUGGAUGUGAAGAAUGCAUUUCUCCAAGGAGAACUAGAAGAUGAGGUGUAUAUGCACCCACCACCAGGUCUUGAGCAUCUAGUGAAGCCAGGAAACGUUUUGAGACUCAAGAAGGCAAUCUAUGGACUAAAACAGUCCCCUAGAGCAUGGUACAACAAGCUAAGUACUACACUGAAUGGGCGUGGCUUCAGGAAGUCAGAACUUGAUCAUACCCUUUUCACUCUCACAACACCUUCAGGUAUUAUUUGUCUACUUGUUUAUGUUGAUGACAUCAUUAUAACAGGUAGUGAUAAGGAUGGGAUAAAAGCCACAAAGGAGUUUUUAAAAUCUGUGUUUGAAAUUAAAGACUUGGGAGAAAUGAAAUACUUUCUUGGAAUUGAGUUGUGUAGAUCCAAGGAAGGGUUAUUCAUUUCCCAAAGGAAGUAUACACUUGAUCUUUUGAAAGAUGCAGGUAUACAAGGAGAUAAGACAGCAAGGAUGCCUCUUGAAGAUGGAUACAAGAUUCCACGUGAGGGGGAGCUUGAAGAUAGCAAGGCUUUCCAUGAUCCCAAGCUGUAUAGGAAGCUAGUAGGGAAGCUCAUCUAUCUCACCAUCACAAGACCGGAUAUAUGCUUUGCCGUGAAUCAAGUGAGUCAGCAUAUGCAAGUUCCAAAAGAGCAUCAUUGGCGGAUGGUGGAGAGACUACUUUUGUAUCUGAAUGGGACAUCAAGUCUUGGAGUGUGGAUGGGAUGCAACAAGAGUACUGAAGUAGUAGGCUACUGUGAUGCGGAUUGGGCUGGUGAUCGAGCUGACAGAAGAUCAACCACCGGAUAUUGCACAUUCAUUGGAGGCAACUUGGUGACUUGGAAAAGCAAGAAGCAGAAGGUGGUAUCUUGUUCAAGUGCUGAAGCUGAGUAUAGAGCAAUGCUGAAGCUGACCAAUGAGUUGGUAUGGAUCAAGGGGAUCUUGAAGCAUUUGGAGAUAGAGCAAACAACUCCAAUGACGAUGCACUGUGAUAAUCAAGCAGCUAUACACAUUGCAACCAAUUCAGUCUUUCAUGAGAGAACCAAGCACAUUGAAGUGGAUUGUCACAAGGUGAGGCAGAUGAUUGUCUUGGGAGUUAUCUUGCCAUGCUAUACAAGGAGUGAGGAUCAAUUGGCGGAUGUAUUUACCAAGGCUGCAAGACAAAAGACUAUGGAGUCCAUUCACAUCAGAUUAGGCCUCAUAGAUCUUAAGGCAAGGAGCUGAGCCCCUAGUCAUGAGGUCUUUACUCUUUUUCCCUCAUCAAAGUUUUGUCCCAAUGGGUUUUCUUUGGUGAGGUUUUUAAUGAGGAAGAUCUCAUGGCUGUCCAAGCUUAACUGAUGGGAUAGUUAAGCUUGAGGGGGAGUGUUGAGUUAGAAGAGACUUAUGGAUCAAGGAAUGAUGGAUAAGUGGAGAAGAAGCAAGGUAGAGGAAUCCGUACAAGAGAGGCCGUACAAGGCCGUACACUUGGUACGGAUGGAGCAACCACAAGGAGAAGUAUCUCGGCCAAGAAGUUACCAAAGUGAAAGUAACUUAGCCAAAGUUACCUUUACCUUUGGUUGUGGAUCAGCUUGAAUCAAAAGGAAGAAGAGCGCGGACUGACAGACUGGAACAGCUGUAAAGGAAGAGCAUCUAGCUAGAUCCUUUUGGCAUCAAGCGUGUGAGCCAUCCUAGCCGGUCAUUCAAACUAGCCCGCUCCUCUCAUCUUUGACUCUACAUGCUUAGUCUCCCUUGUAUCCGUUAACCUAGACUUAGUCUCUCCUAUAUAUAUUGUAACCUUGCUGAUUAAUGAAGUUAACGAGAUUGAGAGACUCUUAUCUCUUGUGUUCAUCAUGAUUCUCACUCAACCUC